This is a long non-coding RNA of Equus asinus (donkey), 1142 nucleotides long. The record is from Ensembl. NCBI's taxonomy places the organism in Eukaryota, Metazoa, Chordata, Mammalia, Perissodactyla, Equidae.
GCACCAGGGUACCCGUGCGCCAGGGGCAAAGGCCACCCUCUCCAGGUCCCAGGGCUGCCGUCUCGCCGAGCCCCAGCACACAGCCUGGCUCGGCGCCGUCGCCCUGCUCGUUCACCUCACACAUUCUCUCUGGGACUCGCCAUCUCUGCCUCCCCAGGCGCCGCCACUAGUGCUCUUGCCCUCCGGAGCUGCAGAGGAUGGGAUCCCACAAGCCCUCUGCCCUCCAGUUGCUAAUCCUUCUUGGCACAUGACCUUUCGAGGAUUCUUCACUGGGCCACAGAAUUCCUGUCAGCAAACCCCUGAGAAGAGGUGUCUGCAGCAGCCCCCAGGCGUCCAUGCAGCCCCGAUGCUCCCCUCGUCCUGGGCACCCUGUCCUCCGUCUUCCCCCUGUUCUCUGCCCCCGUGCUUCCGUCCAACCCACCACCCCACUUCAAGAGCUCCUCUCUGCUCACGUUUCCCCGUUCCACAGUCCUUCAUCCCAGAUUUUUCUCCUCCCCUCCCUUCACCUACAUUAAAAAGUUGAUAAUGAAAACAUAGGUUUUAAAAUACUCAACCAGCAUAAACUGAGAGAGAGUCACGGCAGACGGUGGCCCCCUCCUGCCAUUUUUUGGCAGCUGACUGAUGGCUGUGCAUGGGUAGAGUGGAGGGUCCGCUGAGGACCUGGUCUGUGCUCAUUUCGAGUCUCAUCUUAGACUCCUGGUAACAAUCCAUUCACACGUCAUGUGUUCAUUCUUGCAUUAUUGCUACAGGUAUAUUUUAAGUAACUACUGUGUGUGACGUGCUCUUGCACGGCCAUAAAGCAAUGAGAAACUUGAAAACGCCCUCGCAGAGGCCUCUCCACCGUCCCACUUCACGUCCACGCUCCCCUGUCCCCACCCUCCUGGGAACCCAGCCCCUUCCCAUUCACCCCCUUGGACAGAUUCUCCAUCCAAACGGGUAAACAGUCAUGGGAGAGUGACACUUCCGUGUCCCUUCCAGAGGGCACCUGCCACGAGAAGUGUAGAUAGCUGAUCGUCUCCAGGUGCCACACUUUUUUCUUUCUUCCUUCCUUCCUUCCUUUCUUUCUUUGGUGAGGAAGAUUGGCCCUGAGCUAACAUCUAUGCCAACCUUCCCCUAUUUUGUAUGUGGGACACCACCUCAGC